AUCACUGUCUCCCAUCACUCCCAGAUGGGACCGUCUAGUUGCAGGAAAACAAGCUCAGGGCUCCCACUGAUUCUACAUUAUGAUCAACUGCAUGGGGUCCUACAGGAGAAGACCAAGAGACAGAGACAGAGACCAGGGAAAAUGACCGAUACCAUUCCUUCUCAGGGAUGCUACACACCCAUGGGGCAGAGGAUAAGAGGUUCCUGAAGGCAUCACCCCUCUGGCCAUGGCUGGUGUGCAGACAAAGCUGGAGAUUUGGAGUAGCCUGUUGUCCCACUGACUCUUAGACUGCCCCAGCUAAGAAGAACCAACUCCUCCUAUUACAGAUGAAAUAAACAAAGCUACUCAAGCUCUCUGGCAUCGCCCUGACGGUCAUCAUGUGCUUCACAUUUCCCUCCUGCCCCCCCUGAUUUUCUGGAAAAGGGAGAAACACACCAAAGAGAGUUCUAGAAAAAAUGAGAAUAAGAAAUUUACCUGUAAUCCUUGCUCAAGAAACUGAAGCUCUGAGGCCACAUUGUUCCAGCCUUUUGCAGCUCCUGCAUGUGGAUACCAGCACCAGCAGCUCCCCGACCAGGGGCCCCAGCUAAGCCCUCCCAGAGGAUGAUCUUGGCUUUGUACAUGGGGUGUCAAUAUCCUGUGAGUCCAACAGAGGGAAGACAUAAGAAUAUGGUCACCCAGGUAACAGACAUUUGUCUUAAUGUAUUCACUGUGUCAUCAGAAGCCACUUCUUAUCCAUCCUUGUGAAUACUUGAUGAAUGAGGAGUCAAUGAUUAAAUGAAGGAAAGAAAAGAGACUGAAAAGGAGGUUUUGUACAGAGGAAAUCCAGGCUCCUAACGAUGGCGAAAGAUGGGAAUAAAAGGAUCAGAACACUGAGCUGGAUCUUCAGUUCAUUUCAGGUAUGGAGAAGGGUAAAUGGUCUUUAAAGAAGGCCGACCUCAAUGAAGGUGUCUUCCAAGGCCUUGUCCACUCAAGGACAUGUUGCAUGCCUGAAACUGAGUAUACAGGAAAAGGAUAGAAAUGGAAUAAAAUGGAAACCCAUAAAUCACACUACCCUGCUAUGCAGUUUCAAACCACUGACUUAAUGAAAUGUUGAUCCACUUUGCCAUGGAUGCCCCACUUUUUAACUCCUUCUUCAGAGUCCCAGGAGGUGAGGCUCUUCUGUUUAACUGAUUUGCAGAAUUUUUGCUUCUGCUAUUACAAUGGCUUCCAUAGUUGAGUACCAAAGACACUUUACUAUGGUGCCACAGAGAUCAUUUUGCAGAUGAGGAAACAGACUGUUCUACUACCCAGGCUUUGGUUUUUUCUACUCAGUCUUGCACAAUCUCUCACUCUCAGCCCAGAACAUUGCUGCAUUUUUGUGAGCCAUCAGCAUCCAAAGUGAACACAGGGUCUAAAUAACUGAAGAUGGCAUGAGGGAACACACAAUCAGGUCUUUAAAAAAAGAAGAAAGUGAAUAGGCAAACUGAACAGGACAUCUAGGACUGAAAAGCCUCUGUGAACAACUGGACUCAAUAUGAAAUUGGCGUGAGCUCACAGAAGACCAGCUGAGUUCCAGAUGUGGUUGGGUAGCUUGGGUUAUGGGCCCGUAUAAAAAAAAUGGUCUCUUCUUGUAAAAGGAAUUCAAAAAAAGACUAAAAGUCACCCCAAAGA
Homo sapiens (human) is the source of this 1650-nucleotide long non-coding RNA. Ensembl annotates it as long intergenic non-protein coding RNA 3060. NCBI's taxonomy places the organism in Eukaryota, Metazoa, Chordata, Mammalia, Primates, Hominidae. The record is from Ensembl.